Molecule: long non-coding RNA, 191 nt
Organism: Eurytemora carolleeae
Lineage: Eukaryota; Metazoa; Arthropoda; Copepoda; Calanoida; Temoridae
Exons: 3
Source: RefSeq, a predicted model, not a curated record
CGGAGACCUCUACGGUAGUCAAUAGUUAGUAGUCAGUAGUCAGUAGUCACAGGAUAACCAGAUCAGUGUGAAUACUAGACCUAAACCUAUAGUUAUACAAGGAAAAUAUUCAGGACAUGCAGCAGAAAGCUUGGAGCAGAGAGUACAGAUUUUUACGGAUAUCUGUUUAGGGUUCAGUAGUAGUCAUGUCU